Molecule: ribosomal RNA, 353 nt
Filed under: uncultured Rhodoferax sp.
Lineage: Bacteria; Pseudomonadati; Pseudomonadota; Betaproteobacteria; Burkholderiales; Comamonadaceae
Description: bacterial SSU rRNA
Rfam family: Bacterial small subunit ribosomal RNA
Source: RNAcentral
CCGUAACACAGGUGCCGCAUGGCUGUCGUCAGCUCGUGUCGUGAGAUGUUGGGUUAAGUCCCGCAACGAGCGCAACCCUUGUCAUUAGUUGCUACAUUCAGUUGGGCACUCUAAUGAGACUGCCGGUGACAAGCCGGAGGAAGGUGGGGAUGACGUCAAGUCCUCAUGGCCCUUAUAGGUGGGGCUACACACGUCAUACAAUGGCUGGUACAAAGGGUUGCCAACCCGCGAGGGGGAGCUAAUCCCACAAAGCCAGUCGUAGUCCGGAUCGUAGUCUGCAACUCGACUACGUGAAGUCGGAAUCGCUAGUAAUCGUGGAUCAGAAUGUCACGGUGAAUACGUUCCCGGGUCUU